GAAACUCCUAAAAAGUCUAGAAGCACAAAAUAGGAAACCAAAGCCAUCCCUUUAGCAUCGCCUUCAUCAAUAUCUCUGAGGAGACCCUGAUGAUUGGCAAAGCCACAAGGAUGGCGAGGAUGAUGAUAGAUCAAGCUCAAUCAGGGGCUAACACCAUUAAUUUAUCUUGAAGAAAGAUUGAGAAUAUGUCACUAUAGGCUUUUUAAAUUCUCAUAAGCACCAUGAAUCUAUCUCGGUGAAGACUCCUUCAACAUUGCUUCUUUAAACCAAUCGUAUUUUCAACCAUAGGUUAGAAUAAGCAUCUCAUUGUCUAUCAUCCAAAAAAGAAAAUCAUGAAUCUAGUUAUCUUUGUCGCUUAACAGAUUGAGCUCCAAGGAGCUAAUACAUUGUUUAAGGACAAAAAUCAACUGGAUCCAUGAUAAUCUUUGGUCAUCUGUGCUGGUGUGAAGCCUUGUUCUUUAAACUAAUUGUUAAAUCUUCUUGUUCCAUAAUGUUAUCUCAACAUGUUAAUGUGUUCACCCAUUGUUUAUUUUAAAUAAGUAUACCUUGUAUUGAUACUUUCAUAUGCGCAAAUAAGGAAUAUACAUCUUUUUCAUGUUUAUUAACAUUUUCCGUACAUGUAGUACCUGAUGAAAAUUAUUUAAGAAUAUAGAACUUAUACCUGCAAAAGAAAAAAUAAUGUUAGCAAAAAAGCUGCAACUUUGUUUCCCUCUCUUAAUGUAUGCACCACCUGCACCAACUCCGAGACAAAAUUUAUCAAAGCUUUAUUUUCUUCACUUGCAUGGAUACACUCCAUGGCAUUUCCCAUUUGUUAUAUAAAUUUUUUUUCAAUAGUGAGUGAGUUUCUAGAACAAUUGGAAGAAUAUUAUAAGUAACACAAUGCUCCAAUCCACUCCUUAAAGUGAUAAUUUCAGUUUCUAAGGCUGUACCUUUCCCUCUUAUUUUUGACUUUGCAUACACAAAAUCUCCUAUCUCAUUCCUAAUACAAAAGGUAGUUAUAAUUGGUCUCAAAUUUCCUUUGUAGGAUCCAUCUAAAUUACACUUGAAACCUCCUUUGUUUGGCAUCUGCCAUAUAAUGACUUUUGUUACUAAUAAAGUGAAUAUUCCUAAAAAUAACUGCACACCAAAAGGCCAGGUUGUAGGAAUAUUUCUUAUCCAAGGAUAGAUUGUGAUAGUAAACAAAUGAAUAUUUUUAUUAAUUUCAGAUACCAUGUAAUGACAUGACAUCUUACCAUCAUGACAGAUCGUAUUUAUCCUCCCCCACAAAUGUCAAAUCACAAUAGCAGGAAUAACCUUGUAAAUAGGUUUAAAUUUAGAACUACAACCUGCUUACCACCAUUUAAAAAUGGUGAUCUUAAGUUGUAUAGAAGGCCCCUCAAAGCCUGUUGCACUUUCAUGCUACAUCCAUAUAUUUCUACUAUUAGAAUACUUUCAAAACAAAUGUUCAAAAGUCUCAAUCUCUGUAUCAUUAUAGCAACACAAAUAUUGUGUCUACCCCUUGCAUUAUUAUCAAUACCUCCCCAAUAGGGAUUCUUUUUUUUUGUACACUCUCUAUAAUAAUAAAGAAAUUUUGAAAGAUGAUCCUUUCACCUAAAUAUUCUUGAAAUAUCAUGUUUCUCCCUUUCUACCCUUACCUCAUUCCAUGCACUGAAAACUAUAUUUUUUCCAGAACAAGUCAACUUCCACCAAACUUUAUCCCAUUCUAUAGAUUCUACCCAUACUUUAAUUUUAUCAAAAAUAUAGGUUUUGACCUCUUCAGACAAUAACUAGCUUAACAGAAGUUCUUUCUAGCUGUUUCCCAACAUCAAAUCUUUAACAUCUACAAUUCCUUUAUGCAUUACAUUAGUGAUAGGAAAAAAAUAAUGCAAAGCCCCUAAUGGUGUCCAAUUAUCAUACCAUGCACUAGAACUCCCAUAUCUAGGAUCCCACCAAAUUCAUAAUCAAAGAAAUCUCUUUCUUAAAGCAUGUACUUCCAAAUUUAUGGAUCCCCUCUCCAUUCAAUUACUUGAGGUCUAUGCCUUUUAUAAUACUUAGUCUACAUAAAGUUAUCCCAUACAAACUUCUUAGUUUUGAAAUUCGACCACAUCUUAGCAUACUAAGAUUUGGACAUAUCAAAAAGAUAGCUAAAUCCUAGGCAACCUUCUUUAUUAGGACAACACACCUCUGUCCAAGCCACUGAGUGGUUGUUCCUUUCUUUAUACUUAAAACUCUAUAAGAACCUUGCAAAUAUUCUAUGUAGGUCAUGAAUGACAAUUUUUUAGGAACAAUAGUAGACAACAGGUAAAUUGGAAUAAUUUGCAUAACAUCGUUAAUCAAAACAUGUUUUCCAUCAAAAUAUAGCAAUUUACCUUUCUAUACCUGUAAUUUAUUCUUGAGUUUCUUCAUUAUUUCAGUAAAGUAGAUGUUUCUCUUCCUGGAAUGUCCAAUUGGACAUAACCUAGGAAUAAGUUAUUUAAAGUUUUAACUUUAUAGUUUGUAUUCUAACAUACUAAAUUGGUUGUCUCUUUGUGACAACAAAAAGGACUAUUGAAAAUCAAGUUAAUGAUGCAAUGAAAAAUGUCGUUGUAACAAAUAUUACUACUUCAAGUUGUUCAAAUGUUGCUCCAGUCAUGGCACCGAUGAAAUAUUUUUUGGUGUGGAUUUUAAAAGGGUGGAAAAAAAUAUGUUUUUUUAUUUGACUACAUUAAGUCUCCAAAGAUUCAUCAUAGAAAGCGUUCUAUAGUUAUCGAAAGAAACACCAUAAAAGGAACACUUUAUAGUAAUGAAAGCUUGAAAGCACUCGAAUUUCUUGUGUAAGAACUACAUUUUAAGUGACCUACUAGAUGAUCUUUACAAUGUCUAAAGAAAUAUGAAGAGACCUCUAAAGAACUAUGGGAUGCUUUGAAAAAAAAAUACAAAGUAAAGGAUGCAAAAAUGAAGAAAUUUAUUGUUGUAAGAUUACUGGACCCUAAGAUAGUAGACAAUAAAGCUUCAUUACACAAGUUCUAGAACUACAAGUCAUCAUCCAUGCUCUCAUAGUGGAAGGUAUAUACUUAGCAAAACCUUUUUUGAACAUACUAAUUUUGUUCUUGAUAAUGACAUAACAUUUGUUAUAGAUUUGAUUGUGAACGAAGCUUUUCAAGAAGUUUCUAUAAUUGAGAAGUUACCACCUUUGUAGAAAAAUUUCAAAAAAUACUUGAAGGUCAAGCGCAAGGAGAUAUUUGUUGAAGAAUCCAUUGCGAGGUUAUGGAUUGAAGAGGAACACAAAACAUUCAAAAUAAGUUCUAGAGGGAACAUGCAAGAUUUGCUUGAAGAAGGCAUUGAGCAAGCUGGUUAUACUCCACAAUGUUCUUCAUGUUUCAGAGUUGCAAAAAAACUUAGUUCUUACUUCAAUUCUAACUAAUAAUAGAUCCAAAUAUGUAUUUGUUUCUAACAGAGUAUAACUAGUAAG
Molecule: long non-coding RNA, 3430 nt
Filed under: Capsicum annuum
Lineage: Eukaryota; Viridiplantae; Streptophyta; Magnoliopsida; Solanales; Solanaceae
Description: long non-coding RNA (CANN_LNC014238)
Source: RNAcentral